This 358-nucleotide long non-coding RNA is filed under the name Vitis vinifera (wine grape). RNAcentral describes it as "long non-coding RNA (VVIN_LNC007552)". Lineage: Eukaryota; Viridiplantae; Streptophyta; Magnoliopsida; Vitales; Vitaceae. The record is from RNAcentral.
UCGGGAAACCAAAGGAACUAAGAACGAACAUAGAUAAAAACUAGGGUGGCAUUUCAACAAUGAGAAACCAAAGAAACAACAAGCUAAGUAGAGGUAGAAACCUAAGAUUGCAUCUCCACGAUAAGAAACUAAAGGAACUGACUUUGAACAUAGAUAGAUGCUAGAAAGGCAUCUCGGUGAUGGCAAACCAAAGGAAAAAACGACUAAGCUUAGAUAGAAACUAGGAUGGCAUCCCAAUGAAAGGAAAUCAAAUUGAACAUAGAUAGAACCUACGAUAGCAUCCUAGUGAAGAUAAACAGAAGGAACUAAGAUGGGAAACUAAGGAAACUUAGAAUGAACAUAGAUAAAGCCAAGAAAG